GGGGGGUGGUAGUAGAUAAGUGCAUAAAAAUAUUUUUGACACUAAAAGUGUAAAACUUUUGUUUUUAGGGUUUAAAGAGCCUGUAUUUAUUACAAUAAUAAAUGGGGAGAGGGAAUACAUCAGCUAUAGUUCCUGGGACAGCCAACAUCUACAGGUGUAUUCACUGCCCCAGAUAGUAAAAAGAACUGUGGUCACUGGGAGAACAUCUAUAGGUUGAAUUCUUUACACCCAUGCCAUGAAGAGAGGGAACACACCCGCUAUGGUUCCUGGGACAGCUAGCAUCUACAGGUACAUUCACUGCCCCAGAUAGUAAAGAGAGGAAACCCAUCAGCUGUGGACCCUGGGAGAACAUCUACAAGGUGCAUUUGAUACUUCCAGGUAUGCUUCUAGUUUAUUGAAAUGAGUCAUUGAUGUGAGAAGUUUCCUAAAGCUACAAUGUAUGCUAUGAAUUUGCCUGUAAUACUGCUUUGGCUGCAUCCAGAAACAUUGAUAUCUUAAUCCAGCUUUAUGUUCCAACUGCAAUUAUGAUUAUGGCAUUUCUAUAAGUUGCUAGCCCUUGUACUUUCAUUCUUUCUUCUUGAUACCUAUGCUUUUAGGAUAGCGGUACCUUCUUAGCAGAGAAUCAUCUUUGCUUUGUGUACUAUUCUUGACCCUGGUCAGCUGUGUCUGGUAUUAAUGUAGCUAUUCUUUUAAAUUAGUGUUUGUAUGAUAUGUGUUUCAUACCUGUACUCUCAGCCCACCUGUGUUAUAAUGUGUGAAGUGACUUGUUAUAGUAUUUCUAUAGUUCAGUUGUACCUUUUUUGAUUGGUAUAUUUAGACCAUUUUCAUUCAGUGUAAUCACUGUUUUAUGUUUGGUUUUCUAACAUUCUGUCUUCUUGAUUUCUAUUUUGAUUAUAAAUUUUAAUAUAGUGUGCUUUUCAGUCUCUAGUAGUGUCUUGAGCUGAUAUUAUUUAUACAUAUCUUCUUACAACUCACUUCCAGUAACAUUUUACCUCAUCCAGUGUAGUACAGAAUUCUUGCAUUUAGAUCCCCUUAUCCCACUAUUAAAAAAUAUUUCCUCAAGCAUUUCCAUUGGAAACAUUAAGUAUCAUGUCAGGUUGCAUUAGAAGUUUGGUGCAGUCAUAAAAUACAUUUCUCAAAACCCGUGAAGUAGCUUCAGUUGAUGGUCUGUCUACAUCUACCAUUCCAUCAUGUAGGAGGCAAGGGCAAGAGAACCAAGAGUUCAAGGCCAGCACAAGUGACAUAGUGAGACUCCCCAAAGAACAGGAAAUGAAGGAAGUCUUUUAACUGGUGUAGCUGACCCUCUGUCCCUCUCCUCUGAUAACUCCAGCCUUCCAAAGGGGGGAGGGGGAAAUGAAGGUUAGUUAGUUGACUUCUGUAGCUGAUCCUCUGUCCCUUCCUCUGACACUCCAGCCUUCUGUCUUUUUUUUUUUUUUUUUUUUUUUUUCAAAAAGUUCUCUGGCCAUGUUUUAGUAGUAAGUCUGCCCACAACAAAUUCCUUCAUUUACCUUCCACUGAGAUUGCCUUUAUUUAACCUUUACUCCUGCAAUAUCAUCUCACUGCAUCUAAAGAGGGGCUCAUGUCUGAUGGCACCUGAGGCCUGCUGUGUACGCACUUCCCUUUGUCCUGGAUCUGUAGGGAAACUGCCUUUGGAGUUGAGGUGCUUUAGAGUAGUCCACUUUCCCCCUAUAUUUUCAGUAUAUUUUCUUUUAGGAUUUGCAGGAAUUUAUUCAUGAUGUAUCUUGGCAUCCAUUUAUUUGGGCUCAUCCUAGUUGGGGUUUGCCAGCUUUCUUGAAACAAUAGGUAUCUUUCUUCUUCCAUGCUCUACUGGGUGGUAGCAGGUGUUAAGAUAAAAAUAUUUUUUUAGUUGACGAAGUGCUAGUGGGUUACAUUGGUUUCAAGGGAAUGAGGUAUAAAGAAAUGUCUUCCUAAUGAAGGAAUAUCCUGUCUCAUCAUCAAGACAGUGGUUACCUGUGUAGUAAAUUGUGAAAACCCAUUGAGGUGCAUCUUCAGGGUCUGUUCACAGUAUUAGACAUUAGCUUUUAAAAUCUUUCAGCAACUCUGCUGUCACUAUGAGCUACACUUUUUUCUGCUUGUGACACUUUGAAGACUAUUGAGGCAUAUACCAGCAAGAUUUUGCUGAAAGGACCCUGAUAUAGCUGUCUCUUGUGAGGCUAUGCUGGGGCCUGGCAAACACAGAAGUGGAUGCUCACAGUCAGCUAUUGGAUGGAUCACAGGGCCCCCAAUGGAAGAGCUAGAGAAAGUACCCAAGGAGCUAAAGGGGUCGGCAACCCUAUAGGUGGAACAACAAUAUGAACUAACCAGUAACCCCCAGAGCUCAAGUCUCUAGAUGCAUAUGUAUCAGAAGAUGGCCUAGUCGGCCAUCAUUGGGAAGAGAGGCCCCUUGGUCUUGCAAACUUUAUAUGCCUCAGUAUGGGGGGAACGCCAGGGCCAAGAAAUGGGAGGUGGGUAGGGGAGUGGGCAGGGGGAGGGUCUGGGGCACUUUUGGGAUAGCAUUUGAAAUGCAAAUGAAGAAAAUGCCUAAUUUAAAAAAGAAAUUAAAAAAAAAGAAAUUGUAAAAAUAAAUAAAUAAAUAUGAACACUGCUAGGGAAAAAAAAAAAGAGCAUGCCCUUGAAGGAAGGUCAUGCCCUUGAAAGAAGGUUAUGGCACCAUGCUUUCUUCUUCCUCCUCUUAAUUCCAGGUCUGAGGUGAGUACAGCAGGUAUAUGAGAGAUGCAAGCAGGAAGAUGACACCACUCCUGCUUUUAAGAAAUGUGUAACAUGUCUAAUUUUCUGCUUCAAAAGAAAAAAAAAACUGCUCGUGGAUUGGGCAUGGUGACUUGUGCCUACAGCCUUUAUAGUUAAGAGUAUGGUGUGGAGGGACUGCCACAGGUUUGAAGUCAGAUUAGGUUGGAUAGUGAUGUGAUGCCAGCCUAUACUACAUUAGCAAAACUCUAAAAGAAAUGAGAGAGGGAGGGAAAAGGGAGGGGAGGGAGAGAAUCUCAGAACAUUUGUAGAUAUUAGUCAUAUCUGAAAAUGUCAAUUUGUUUCUCAGAAGUAGAAAUAUAUAUCUGGCUACAAUAGAAUAAAAGUCUAUCAUUAGGAAAUAAAGAAAAAGGAAAAAGCUACCUACCCCCACCUCCCACGCCCCCCCCCCCAGCCAAAGAACUCUCUGUAUUAACUUUGGGGUCAAAGAAAAAUUAAACGGAAUAUAUAAAAUGUCUAGAAAAUUCUGUAGAUGAAAAUCCUAUGGUUCAAAUCUGUGAGAUAUUACUGAAAUUUUUCUUGAUGAAAAAUUCAUGGUGAAGAUCACCUCUUAAAAUCCCAGAAAACAGUAAAAUCAGCCUAAACAAUUCAAAAGAAGGUCAAAGCUGACACAAAUUCAUUACAAAGCAUGAGAAAGAAAGCUAAAAUUGGUAAGUACUUUUGAGAGUUAUUGGUUUGUUUGUUUGUUUGGUUGGUUGGUUGGUUGGUUGGUUGGUUGGUUGGUUGGUUGGUUUCGCCAAGGCCAAUGAGACAGAUCACACUGGCUAGUGUAGUUAGAAGGACAGGAAGAGCUAUAGCAGAAUAUUGAAAAGUAGCAAACAACAGAUGUGAAGGAAACUCUAGGAAUUGUGGAGAGUACUUUAUGAACUGUUCAGAAAAUCGCUCUGAUAGUCUGUCUGAAAUGAAUUGUUUUCUAAGAACACACAAAUGACCAGUUUUUCAUACCAGAGAGCCUUUGGUAGACAAAUAAACACAGCCACAGGGCCUGGAAGGAUUAUCUAGAACAUUCCCCCACAGUUUUAUAAGCUAAAGCAGUUUUUCAUAUCUCUUGUCCAUGACUGCAUGCAAUAUGACCAAUGCCCCAACCUCCCAAUGCUGUCAUCCCCUACCAUGGCACAGGGCCACCUUGAACUGCAAGCCAAAACAAGCCCUGUCCCCGUAAGUGGCUUUUUUCAGGAGAAUUUUAACACAGUAACAGAAAAAGAAAGUAAACUACUGCAGUACCAUGUUUAUUUUUGAGAUAUUAUCUCAGGUGUCUAAGGUGGCCUUGAGCUUUCUAUACAGCCAGAUAGCACAAUGGAAAGAAGGUGGAGGUAAUAACAAAUAUUACUGCAACAACCAGUUAACAGUUUGGAAUUGUUCUAUAUCAAUAUUAUGAUUCUUUCACCAGGAUAAAUUCCAGAUGAACUAUUGAGUGUUUUUUAAAAGUCAAAUUGGAAACAAAUUAGAAAACAAAUAUAUAAACUUGAUAUGAGAUUUAUUUUUACAGUCAGGUAAAAUUCUUGUGAUAUAAAGAGAUAAAAACGAUGAACAUGUUUACAUGAAAAACAUUUUAGCUUCAGGCUUGGUAUGGUGGCACGUGCCUGCCAUCUCAGCACUUGUUCUAAGACAGGUGACUCCUGGGUUUAAGGCCAGCCUGAGCCACAGUGAGAUCCUGACUUAAAGAACCGAGUAUGGUAUGGUGGGAUAAGCGUGUAACUCUAACACAUGGAAGAUAAAGCAAGAAGAUAAGAAUAUAAGAUCAAGCCGGGCAGUGGUGGCGCACGCCUUUAAUCCCAGCACUCAGGAGGCGGAGGCAGGCAGAUUUCUGAGUUCGAGGCCAGCCUCCUGGUCUACAAAGUGAGUUCCAGGACAGCCAGGGCUAUACAGCAGAGAAACCCCGUCUCGAAAAAAGAAUAUAAGAUCAUCCUCAGCUACAUAGUACAAGAUCAGGCUGGGCUGUCUUAAAGAAAAGGAGAGAGAGGAGGGAGGGAGGAAGGGAUGGGAGGGGAAGGUAGAGAGAGAGUGAGAUGGGGUAGGGGUGGGGGGAGAUGAGAGAGAGAGAGAGAGAGAGAGAGAGAGAGAGAGAGAGAGAGAGAGAGAGAGAGAGAGAGAGAGAGAGAGAGAGCGCACUUAUGCAGACCUUUAGUCUUAGCACGUGGGAGGCAGAGGAUCUUUCUGAGUUCCAGGGCAGUCUGGUCUACAUAGGAAGUUUCAGGCCAACUAACAACCAACAGUUCAUGGUAAGACCCUGUCUCAAAAUAAUAAUAAUAAUAAUAAUAAUAAUAAUAAUGAUAAACUCAACUUUAAAAUAGUUCUAUAUUUGUAUAGAGAAUAUGUUCAGAUGAUAGAGAGAGCUUGCCUUGACCCCAGCACCACAUAAAUUAGGCAUGAGGGCACAUGCCUAUAAUCCCACACUCAGGGGUCAGAAGUUCAAGGUGCUAUUUGGCUUCAUAGGAAGCUCUAGGCCAGCUUCGACUACAUGAGACCCUAUCUCAGAAAGACAGUGAGGGAGGGAGAGAGAAAAAGAGAAAAAGUUAGUUCUGUAAUGUCUACUUUCUUUUCCUGUUACUAUGUUAAAAUAAUCUUGACAAAAAAAAAAAAAAAACAGCUUAACAGGGAAAGGGGUUUUUGAACAGCUCACAGGUGAAGGUGGCCAUUUGCCAUAGCUGGGAGCUCUCAGCAUCAGGAAGUUGAGGAAGCUGGUCACAUUGCGUGCACAGUUAGGGAGAAGAGAGUGAUGAGCACCUAUGCUCAGUUCCUGCUCUCCUGCUUAUAUUCUACAGUUGAGGAUCCUCGCCUAGACAAUAGUGGUACCCAAAGUGGGCAAGUCUUCCCAUUUGAGUCAGUCUCAUCAAGACAAUUCCCCUAUAGGCAUGUCCAGAACCCCCAAACCUACACUCCCACCCCGGGUGAUUCUUAAUCUCAAGUUAAUUGUUGAUGUUGACCAUAACAAUGAUCAAGGCCAAUGGGAAAAAUUUUAACAUAUUUAUAAAACAUGGCAAAAAUAUGGCUUUAUUUUAUCAAGUGUUCUAAACAAUUCUUUCUUAAAACUCAACCCACCAAAUAAAAACACAAUAUAACUCAGAGUAAAGCAGUCACUUAACCAAAGCUGGUGUUCCAACUUAUUUUCUGCAGGAGUAGAAGUUGAUUUAACUUCUUGAAGGGCAGUUAGGCAAUAUUCAUAAAGUUUUAAUGUGUGUUCUUGACUCAAUAUGUCCACAUUAGGAAUUUCACCCAAGUGAAAGUGGGGAAAAUGUUUACCUCAGCAUUGCUGGAAAAACCAAUCCCCCAGAUUUUCAGGAGGUGUCUGUGAAUAGGACCAAAACAGGCCCAGCCUGAGGCAUUGGGUGGAAUUCUCUACAGCCUUUAAAAGGGCUGAAGUAGAGCAAGUGUGGCGGAAGUUCUCAGACAGCGUCCGCCAAGGAAACAAGAGUCCAUGUCCACUGUGGGGUGGUCCACAUGGACCUGGAAGCCAGUGUCUGUAAUGAUUCACAAGACGCUUGCCACAGCAGUUACCAUGGAGAGUGGCCUCGCUCAGGGAAGCACAGACUCCUUUCCAUUGCUGACUUUCACAUGGAGUCCUGUUGCCACAGGAGUGGUCACUAAAUGAUGAGAUUCAAUGAGACAUAAGAGCCAAAUGCAGAUGACAUUCUAAAGUAAGCUUCAGAGUUCUAAACCUCACACUGCUUGAAUUCCAACCUAACCAUUUCCUCGUUAAAGCAACAUGUUAAGUUGAAUUUAGUCCAGAGCAGAGAUGUGGUGCUCUGUUUAAUGUAUGCUGCCUUUCUUAGCAAGUGUGUAGAUUUGUGUGAACUCUCUGGAAUAGCCAGUGUGGUAUACCAUCCUUUGGCUGUGAGGGCUCAGAAGGGCUAGUUGAUCCCAAGGUUCAGAGGUCAAAGCAGCCUAACGGGAGCCCAUGGUACCUGACUGGGAGAGAUGCUGAGCAACUGUUCUCUUCAUCUCUGAGUUAGUGUCCCUCUCUCAGGACAGCAGCAGCAGCAGUUUCUCCAUCACUGAUUGGCCCCUCUGCCUCUCCUUAUGUGACUGAAAUGUUUGAUGGUAGUCCAAUAGAUUUUAGCAAAACUAUG
Mus musculus (house mouse) is the source of this 6836-nucleotide long non-coding RNA. RefSeq annotates it as predicted gene, 30409. NCBI's taxonomy places the organism in Eukaryota, Metazoa, Chordata, Mammalia, Rodentia, Muridae. The record is from RefSeq and is a predicted model, not a curated record. The transcript is spliced from 2 exons.